UACAGAGGGGGCAAGCGUUGUUCGGAAUUACUGGGCGUAAAGGGCGCGUAGGCGGCCUGUUAAGUCGAACGUGAAAUCCCCGGGCUCAACCCGGGAACUGCGUCCGAUACUGGCAGGCUUGAAUCCGGGAGAGGGAUGCGGAAUUCCAGGUGUAGCGGUGAAAUGCGUAGAUAUCUGGAGGAACACCGGUGGCGAAGGCGGCUCUCUGGACCACAACUGACGCUGAGGCGCGAAAGCUAGGGGAGCAAACAGG
RNAcentral lists this ribosomal RNA (253 nucleotides) under uncultured bacterium. RNAcentral's name for it is "partial 16S ribosomal RNA". It matches the Rfam family "Bacterial small subunit ribosomal RNA", at positions 524 to 776 of the family's 1533-position model. The record is from RNAcentral.